AUCAAGGGGGUGAAGAAGCUUGGAAGGCAAAUGAAUGUUUUGCUUUUAUGGUCACAUUUUUGGGGCUCAUUAUUUUUCCCAAAAGGGACAAGCAUAUUGACAUUCGUCUGGCUGGUGUGGUGAAGGCAUUGACCACAAUGGAAAAUCCAACUAUUAUUCCAAUGAUCUUGGCAGAUAUGUUUCGCGCAUUAACCAAAUGUUUAAG
RNAcentral lists this unclassified non-coding RNA (205 nucleotides) under Hevea brasiliensis (rubber tree). Lineage: Eukaryota; Viridiplantae; Streptophyta; Magnoliopsida; Malpighiales; Euphorbiaceae. The record is from RNAcentral.